RNAcentral lists this ribosomal RNA (522 nucleotides) under uncultured bacterium. RNAcentral describes it as "bacterial LSU rRNA". It matches the Rfam family "Bacterial large subunit ribosomal RNA", at positions 872 to 1397 of the family's 2925-position model. The record is from RNAcentral.
AGGUGCAGCGUCGGGUGUUCAGCGAUGGAGGUAGAGCACUGGAUGGGCUAGGGGGCCGACAAGCUUACCGAACUCAACCAAACUCCGAAUGCCAUCGCUCCAGAACCCGGCAGUGAGACCAUGGGGGGAUGAGCUUCAUGGUCGAGAGGGAAACAGCCCAGACCGCCGGCUAAGGCCCCUAAUUCUGGACUAAGUGGUAAACGAUGUGGGAUUGCACAGACAGCCAGGAGGUUGGCUUAGAAGCAGCCACCCUUGAAAGAGUGCGUAAUAGCUCACUGGUCGAGUGAUCCUGCGCGGACAAUGUAACGGGGCUCAAGUCCAGAGCCGAAGCCGCGGACCCCCUUCGGGGGGUGGUAGCGGAGCGUCGAUCUCGGAGCGAAGCGGCGGGAGAACCCGUCGUGGACCGUGGUCGAGUGAGAAUGUUGGCAUGAGUAGCGAAAGAGGGGUGAGAAACCCCUCCGCCGAAUGCCCAAGUGUUCCUGGGGAAGGCUAAUCCACCCAGGGUGAGUCGGGAGCUAAGGC